This 329-nucleotide ribosomal RNA is filed under the name uncultured eukaryote. RNAcentral describes it as "partial 18S ribosomal RNA". It matches the Rfam family "Eukaryotic small subunit ribosomal RNA", at positions 1470 to 1796 of the family's 1831-position model. The record is from RNAcentral.
CCCUUAGAUGUUCUGGGCCGCACGCGCGCUACACUGACACGUUCAUCAAGUCUAUAACCUUGACCGAGAGGUCUGGGUAAUCUUUUAAAAACGUGUCGUGCUGGGGAUAGAUUAUUGCAAUUAUUAAUCUUCAACGAGGAAUUCCUAGUAAACGCAAGUCAUCAACUUGCAUUGAUUACGUCCCUGCCCUUUGUGCACACCGCCCGUCGCUACUACCGAUUGAAUGAUUUAGUGAGUACCAGGGACCGAGCGCUUUGGUUGGGUUUCCUUCCCUAGCGCUUGGGAACUGUCGCAAACUUGACCAUUUAGAGGAAGUAAAAGUCGUAACA